AUUGUUAUCAUGUAUAAAAAAUGGUAGAUUCCUUUCAUUAUAACUAAUAAUAACUACAGUUUGAAUGGUUUGUUAAUUUAUUACUUAACAGUGUGUUUAGAAAGAAGUGUAUGACAAAAUGCCACCAAAAGUUGAGUUUUUUUGUUUUUCUUUUUUUUUUUUUUUCUUAAUCUUUUCUCAAGUCAAGCAUUUUAACUAUUAUGGUAACAAUGCUCAAAGAGCAUUUCCAGAGAGAAUAUUUUCUUGAUUCCACUUAGAUAGUCUUCAAACUAGAUAAUCUGGUCCAUAUUCUGAAUUCAAAUGUCUGAGUCUCCAUAAAAUAAGGAGAUAUCUAUGUGGCAGUCUGUCUGAAAGUAAAGAAAAAAACUGUUAAGACCUCAAUAUCAGGACGUAACUCCAAAUUUUCUUGUGUAAGAGAUCCCUGACCAAAUUCAAGAAACAAUUUUUAGUUUUAAAAAGUUGGGUAACACUCUGUUGUUCCAUGUGGGUUUUAGCUGAGCUGUUCAUCAGACUCUGAGCCCUCUUGUUGUCUCUACGCUCAACCCAAAACAGAGCUCGAUGCUUCAUUCAUCGGCAUGUUAAAAAUGAGGGAACAGUUCUGCAGUGAUAGAAGUGUUUUCCAUUUUGAUGUGGUUAUCAACGGUCCUAAAGAAAGCUCUGUUUCCCAGGAUCUCUUUUUAAAGUUCCCCAAAAGCUCUUACUUUGCGUCAUAUCUACAGGCACAACUAGACUGAGGAUUCAGAUGUACACUGACUCCCCCGUGUUCUUAUUCCUGGCUGGGCUCUAUAGUCACCUGAGGAGCUUUAGAAAGUACUGAAGCCUGGGUCUCAACCAGAGUGAUCUGAACUUAAUUGGUCUGGUGAGUAGCUAGGUCAUUAGAAGCGUUUAAGAACCUUCCCAUGAGAUUACAAUGUGCAGCUGAGUUUGAGACCAAUGUUUACAGUUAUUUACAGGUGAAUCCAUUAAAAAAGGCUGAUAACAAUGAAAUCAGUGUAGGUGUCACACAUUCCAAGAGUAUUAGCGCAUGGGAAAUGGUAAAGUGUUUAUUCUCAUUAGAAUGGAUUUGUGUGUAUGUGUGUGGUUGCGACCAUGGCAGAGAUGGAACUACCAAGGUAAAAUCUGCUUUAUGGAUUUGUCAUAAUCCUGGUGAUAAUGUGUUUGUGGCAAACUUGCACUUAUAGAAGCUUAUAGAAGUUCACUUGGUCAGGUUCUUAUCCUCUCUUUCAUUCUACUGCAUUGGUUCCUGCACCAGAAUUCCUGAGGACGGAUGAUGUACCAGCCAUCAUGCAGGAACAGAAACACAACUGUGAAUGAACAUAAAGUUUCUUCUGAUCCUAAGGUUAAAGAACCCACAAAAGUUUUCUUGAGCAUGGAUUACCUACAGUGAUCGUGGCUUCUUGAUUCCCAGAUUAUAUCACAAUGGAGGAGUCUUUUCUCCACAGCUCAUGAGACACUGAACUCUCCAAACCCCUGGACUGUUUUCCUUUGAAUAAAGGACGUCAAACCCUUUGCUAAAUUGUUUUGGUCUCAUCAUUUGGUGGUUUGGCAAUGAGAUGGGACCUGAAGACAACUGUUGAAGAGGCUGGGGCCGGCUCCUGUUGCUCCUAGUGGAGACACACAGGUAUCCCUUUUGGUUUGCUGCCUCUUCAGCUGUUCUCUGGGAUCUCUAGUUCCAACAUACUGGGAAGAGACGUGACCCAGAGGAACACCCCUCAUCCCUGACUGACAACAUUACUUGUUCGCUUCAUUUUCCUCUCUGCACUAUGUGGGCCUCCAUUAUGGGAAAGUUAUUUUGCAAGAGGAGUGUGUUCCUUACUUCAGCGGGAAGGAAGCAAUAAACCAAGGCACUGGUCAGACUCAAGAAACCUAUGAGUUGCUGUGACUCUUCUGGACCUGCACACCUCCAUCGACCUAGGGAGUGUGGACACCAUCUGCAGGAGCCCCAGGAAGGCCACGGAAGGGGCAGUGGCUCCCCAGGAAGUUAUUGGGAAGAGGAGAAGCUGAAGGGGUGUAGGGAGGACCUGUUCUUCAGAUCCCACCUCUCAACUGAGAAGGGGGCAACUGAACUCGUAAUCACCGCCAAGAAAUUCAUGAUGCAAACUUCCAGCAAUAUCUUUUGAAAAUUUAAGUAUUUAAAUUCCUUUUAUCUUCCAGUUUUAAUUUCGUAAAUGUUGUACAUUUUCUACCUUGUUCUGUCUCAGCUAUCAUGUGCAUUCUUGUCAGCAGGGAGGCUGCUGGAAAAGAGACAGGAUGAUUCUUCCUGAGCCAGGGGCAGAGGAGAAGUUUCUCCUCUCACAUUCCCAAGCCCACAGCUCCCUGCUCUUCGGGCAGCAGGAACAACACAUUAGAGCCCACAAUUACUGUGGUGGGCGCCAUCCCAUCACUCUAGCACAAAUGCUUUCAGCCUGACCCCUUUCCUAGAAGCAGGUAGUAGGAACAGAGAUCAUCUAAGGGGUGCUGGCUGCCCAAAGUUGCAGGAAAUGUUAUUGUCACUGUCUCAGCUCCACACCGGGAAGGCAAGACAAGAUAAUCAGCCCCCGGUGUCCACUCUUAGAACUGGAUGUCACUUCAUGAAAAGUGUCUUCUUGUCUCUAAUUCAGGUGCAAAGACACUGGGGAUUUUCCAGGGGAAAAAAUAGGCCAUAAUGACUCAAAGCUUUGCUGCUUGGCCUAGAGGGACUGACUUUAUAUAGAACAGAAAGGGGAGAAAUCUAUGACCAUCAAAGUGAAAACACAACCACAUGGGGAAGAUUUCUGCAAAUUAUUUGGCUGAUAAGAGACUUGUAUCUAGAACAUAUGAAGAACAAUUACAACUCAAUAAUAAAAAGAUAAAUAGCUCAGUUUAAAAAUGGGCAAAAGAACAAAAUAGAGAAUCCUGAAAUAAAUGCACACAUAUAUGUUCCCUCACUUUCCAAAAGCAAUUCAAAGAAUAUUUAAUGGUGAGAGAGUACUUUAGUAGCAAAUGAUGCUGAAAAAAAAAAAUGGAUACUCAAUUGCUAAAAUUAAUAUGAUUCCAUAUAUCACAUCACAUAUAAAAACUUACUCAAGAUGGAUCAUAAACCUUAAUACAAAA
Molecule: long non-coding RNA, 3072 nt
Organism: Mustela erminea (ermine)
Lineage: Eukaryota; Metazoa; Chordata; Mammalia; Carnivora; Mustelidae
Exons: 4
Source: RefSeq, a predicted model, not a curated record